This 847-nucleotide ribosomal RNA is filed under the name uncultured bacterium. Its description in RNAcentral is "bacterial SSU rRNA". It matches the Rfam family "Bacterial small subunit ribosomal RNA", at positions 30 to 866 of the family's 1533-position model. The record is from RNAcentral.
CGAACGCUUUGUCUUUAACUGAUAUGAAGAGCUUGCUCUGAUUUGAUUUUAUCUGACAAAGAGUGGCGAACGGGUGAGUAACACGUGGGUAACCUACCUCUUAGCAGGGGAUAACAUUUGGAAACAAGUGCUAAUACCGUAUAAUACCAACAACCGCAUGGUUGUUGGUUGAAAGAUGGUUCUGCUAUCACUAAGAGAUGGACCCGCGGUGCAUUAGCUAGUUGGUAAGGUAACGGCUUACCAAGGCAAUGAUGCAUAGCCGAGUUGAGAGACUGAUCGGCCACAAUGGGACUGAGACACGGCCCAUACUCCUACGGGAGGCAGCAGUAGGGAAUCUUCCACAAUGGGCGCAAGCCUGAUGGAGCAACGCCGCGUGUGUGAUGAAGGGUUUCGGCUCGUAAAACACUGUUAUAAGAGAAGAACGGCACUGAGAGUAACUGUUCAGUGUGUGACGGUAUCUUACCAGAAAGGAACGGCUAAAUACGUGCCAGCAGCCGCGGUAAUACGUAUGUUCCAAGCGUUAUCCGGAUUUAUUGGGCGUAAAGCGAGCGCAGACGGUUAUUUAAGUCUGAAGUGAAAGCCCUCAGCUCAACUGAGGAAUGGCUUUGGAAACUGGAUGACUUGAGUGCAGUAGAGGAAAGUGGAACUCCAUGUGUAGCGGUGAAAUGCGUAGAUAUAUGGAAGAACACCAGUGGCGAAGGCGGCUUUCUGGACUGUAACUGACGUUGAGGCUCGAAAGUGUGGGUAGCAAACAGGAUUAGAUACCCUGGUAGUCCACACCGUAAACGAUGAGUGCUAGAUGUUCGAGGGUUUCCGCCCUUGAGUGUCGCAGCUAACGCAUUAAGCA